AUACGUAGGUGGCAAGCGUUGUCCGGAAUUAUUGGGCGUAAAGCGCGCGCAGGCGGUCUCUUAAGUCUGAUGUGAAAGCCCACGGCUCAACCGUGGAGGGUCAUUGGAAACUGGGAGACUUGAGUGCAGAAGAGGAGAGCGGAAUUCCACGUGUAGCGGUGAAAUGCGUAGAGAUGUGGAGGAACACCAGUGGCGAAGGCGGCUCUCUGGUCUGUAACUGACGCUGAGGCGCGAAAGCGUGGGGAGCGAACAGGAUUAGAUACCCUGGUAGUCCACGCCGUAAACGAUGAGUGCUAAGUGUUAGAGGGUUUCCACCCUUUAGUGCUGCAGCUAACGCAUUAAGCACUCCGCCUGGGGAGUACGGCCGCAAGGCUGAA
RNAcentral lists this ribosomal RNA (377 nucleotides) under uncultured bacterium. RNAcentral's name for it is "bacterial SSU rRNA". It matches the Rfam family "Bacterial small subunit ribosomal RNA", at positions 523 to 898 of the family's 1533-position model. The record is from RNAcentral.